Molecule: ribosomal RNA, 454 nt
Filed under: uncultured bacterium
Lineage: Bacteria
Description: bacterial SSU rRNA
Rfam family: Bacterial small subunit ribosomal RNA
Source: RNAcentral
AGAGUUUGAUCCUGGCUCAGAACGAACGCUGGCGGCAUGCCUAACACAUGCAAGUCGAACGAGACCUUCGGGUCUAGUGGCGCACGGGUGCGUAACGCGUGGGAAUCUGCCCUUAGGUUCGGAAUAACUUCGGGAAACUGAAGCUAAUACCGGAUGAUGACGUAAGUCCAAAGAUUUAUCGCCUAAGGAUGAGCCCGCGUUGGAUUAGCUAGUUGGUGAGGUAAAAGGCUCACCAAGGCGACGAUCCAUAGCUGGUCUGAGAGGAUGAUCAGCCACACUGGGACUGAGACACGGCCCAGACUCCUACGGGAGGCAGCAGUGGGGAAUAUUGGACAAUGGGCGAAAGCCUGAUCCAGCAAUGCCGCGUGAGUGAUGAAGGCCUUAGGGUUGUAAAGCUCUUUUACCCGGGAUGAUAAUGACAGUACCGGGAGAAUAAGCCCCGGCUAACUCCGUG